GACGAACGCUGGCGGCGUGCUUAACACAUGCAAGUCGAGCGGUAAGGCCCUUUCGGGGGUACACGAGCGGCGAACGGGUGAGUAACACGUGGGUGACCUGCCCUCAGCUCUGGGAUAAGCCCGGGAAACUGGGUCUAAUACCGGAUAUGACUCCAUGACGCAUGUUGUGGGGUGGAAAGCCUUGUGCGGCUGAGGAUGGGCCCGCGGCCUAUCAGCUUGUUGGUGGGGUGANGGCCUACCAAGGCGACGACGGGUAGCCGGCCUGAGAGGGCGACCGGCCACACUGGGACUGAGACACGGCCCAGACUCCUACGGGAGGCAGCAGUGGGGAAUCUUGCGCAAUGGGCGAAAGCCUGACGCAGCGACGCCGCGUGAGGGAUGACGGCCUCGG
This 391-nucleotide ribosomal RNA is filed under the name uncultured bacterium. Its description in RNAcentral is "bacterial SSU rRNA". It matches the Rfam family "Bacterial small subunit ribosomal RNA", at positions 28 to 420 of the family's 1533-position model. The record is from RNAcentral.